AAAAAAAAACCAUUUGCCGCUAAGUCUUAUAGUUUAUGAGGAGUAGUGAUAACAGUGUUUUUUGUAAUUGGGGAGAUAACUCCUAUAAGAUAAAUAGUAAAUCUUGGUUCUUCUAAUACAAGAAAGAUAUUAUACCCCUGAUACAUGAUACCAAAGAUCAUUUGUAUAUGUUGCGUACUUUUCUUGUUUUUGGACUUUAAAAACGGCGGAAGAAAAAGAAUAAUAAUAAUAAUAAUAAUAAUAAUAAUAAUAAUAAUAAUAAACAAACGAAAUACAGUAAGGUCUUUCCAUUUAAGAAAGGAAAGACCUUAAUUAA
RNAcentral lists this long non-coding RNA (316 nucleotides) under Mytilus galloprovincialis (Mediterranean mussel). Lineage: Eukaryota; Metazoa; Mollusca; Bivalvia; Mytilida; Mytilidae. The record is from RNAcentral.